AAUGAACGCUGGCGGUAGGCCUAACACAUGCAAGUCGAACGGCAGCACAGUAAGAGCUUGCUCUUACGGGUGGCGAGUGGCGGACGGGUGAGGAAUACAUCGGAAUCUACUUUUUCGUGGGGGAUAACGCAGGGAAACUUACGCUAAUACCGCAUACAACCUACGGGUGAAAGCAGGGGAUCUUCGGACCUUGCGCGAUUGAAUGAGCCGAUGUCGGAUUAGCUAGUUGGCGGGGUAAAGGCCCACCAAGGCGACGAUCCGUAGCUGGUCUGAGAGGAUGAUCAGCCACACUGGAACUGAGACACGGUCCAGACUCCUACGGGAGGCAGCAGUGGGGAAUAUUGGACAAUGGGCGCAAGCCUGAUCCAGCCAUACCGCGUGGGUGAAGAAGGCCUUCGGGUUGUAAAGCCCUUUUGUUGGGAAAGAAAAGCAGCAGGUUAAUACCCCGCUGUUCUGACGGUACCCAAAGAAUAAGCACCGGCUAACUUCGUG
This 492-nucleotide ribosomal RNA is filed under the name uncultured bacterium. Its description in RNAcentral is "partial 16S ribosomal RNA". It matches the Rfam family "Bacterial small subunit ribosomal RNA", at positions 29 to 507 of the family's 1533-position model. The record is from RNAcentral.